UCCUACGGGGGGCAGCAGUGGGGAAUAUUGCACAAUGGGCGCAAGCCUGAUGCAGCGACGCCGCGUGCGGGAUGACGGCCUUCGGGUUGUAAACCGCUUUCAGCAGGGAAGAAGCUUUUGUGACGGUACCUGCAGAAGAAGCGCCGGCUAACUACGUGCCAGCAGCCGCGGUAAUACGUAGGGCGCGAGCGUUAUCCGGAAUUAUUGGGCGUAAAGAGCUCGUAGGCGGUUUGUCGCGUCUGCUGUGAAAGCGCGGGGCUGAACUGCGGGUGGGCAGGGGGGACGGGCAGACUGGAGUGCAGUAGGGGAGACUGGAAUUCCUGGUGUAGCGGUGAAAUGCGCAGAUAUCAGGAGGAACACCGAUGGCGAAGGCAGGUCUCUGGGCUGUUACUGACGCUGAGGAGCGAAAGCAUGGGGAGCGAACAGGAUUAGAUACCCUGGUAGUCCU
This 448-nucleotide ribosomal RNA is filed under the name uncultured Nesterenkonia sp. RNAcentral describes it as "bacterial SSU rRNA". It matches the Rfam family "Bacterial small subunit ribosomal RNA", at positions 337 to 797 of the family's 1533-position model. The record is from RNAcentral. Lineage: Bacteria; Bacillati; Actinomycetota; Actinomycetes; Micrococcales; Micrococcaceae.